RNA transcript from Notothenia coriiceps (black rockcod), 2629 nucleotides. It is a transcript of the gene named serine and arginine rich splicing factor 2b, with no coding region annotated. The record is from RefSeq and is a predicted model, not a curated record. NCBI's taxonomy places the organism in Eukaryota, Metazoa, Chordata, Actinopteri, Perciformes, Nototheniidae. The transcript has 4 exons.
GUAGAAGAAGAAGUUCACUUCACGCACUGGUUCGGGGCAGUUGUUGAACGCGAGGCAGACGGAGUUGUGCGGGAAGCAGUCGCCAAUUUAGUGGUUGUUCAGUCUCAAAUACCCAACAGGUGAGGGGAAUCCAUUUAAAAGAACACCCAGUGUGAGUGUGUGCGGACUUUAACAAACAGGUAGGCUCUUUCGUAGCCGAGAAUUCAAGUGUUUUGAGGAAGGCUGCUAGGCCUCAAAGGCUAAUCGCCAUGAGUUACGGUAGGCCUCCGCCAGACGUCGACGGCAUGACUUCCCUAAAAGUGGACAACUUAACGUACCGAACAUCUCCAGAAACCCUCCGACGGGUGUUCGAGAAGUACGGCCGCGUAGGGGACGUCUACAUCCCCCGAGACCGAUACACGAAAGAAAGCCGCGGUUUCGCAUUUGUGCGUUUCCACGACAAACGUGACGCCGAAGACGCAAUGGACGCCAUGGACGGCGCGCUCCUUGAUGGACGGGAGCUGCGAGUCCAGAUGGCCCGGUACGGAAGACCACCCGACUCUCAUUAUGGUGGUAGUGGAGGAGGAGGUGGAGGAGGAGGAGGAGGAGGCGGCGGGGGUGGUGGUGGUGGCCGCGACCGAGAUCGAGAUCGCGAUCGCGACGGUGGUGGUGGUGGCGGAGGCAGCCGACGAGGAGGAGGUGGUCCAACCAGGCGAUACGGUGGACGACGAAGCAGAAGCUCCUCUCCCAGCCCGAGAGACAAGAGACGCAGCCGGUCCCGCAGCAGGAGCCGCUCUCGCUCCCGAAGCCGAUCCCGCUACAGCAGAUCCAGGUCCCGCUCCUACUCCCGAUCAAAGUCUCACUCUCCCAGGAACAAGAAGGUCAAGGCCCCCUCUCGUUCUAGAUCUAGGUCCCGAUCCAAGUCUAAGUCAAAGUCCAAAUCAAAGUCCAAGUCCAAGUCCAAAUCAAAGUCCAAGUCCAGGUCCAGAAGCCGCACCCCCUCCAGAGGGUCCAGGUCGAGAUCUAAAAGCCAGCCCAAGACCGCAGCAGAGAAUGGAGGGGAAACCCCAUAAAGCUCAACAUCAGCUGCGGCAUCCUGUUUGCUAAAGUGGAGUUUUUGCUGAGCUGAGGCAGUAUGAGCAGUUAGCAGCUAUGUGGUGAGCUGCUGCCCGCAGGCCUCUGCUGCUGCAGCUGCUGCUGGUGGGGGUUUCUGUGCAGCAGGGUGUUGGAGGCAGGCAGAGUUGGGGUUUGGUGUAAAGUUUUCAGGGGACGACUGACAGCUUCACGUCGCAGACUGGAUCCAACCCAAGCAACAGUGUGCCGCUGUAAAAGGUUAUUAUUGUGUCUUCCAUGCUUUGUUUCUUUUAUUCAUUUGGCCACAAAAAUGGCUCUGUCACUUCAUCAAUGUGCUGUGAUUGUUUUUAUUUUUCAUAAUGAUUUUUUAAAAUCUGUUUCACUGUGGAGAGGAAACACUGUUCUGACCUGGUUUUGUAAAGAUGACCCAGGAUAAAAACAAGUCAUGUUUGUACCUCUUCUGUGCGCUCUUCUCCCCACGGGCCUGUGUCAGGAAGAGAUAGAACGUAGUCUGGGUUUCUUUCAAUUGUCUGGCUUUGUUUAAUCUUACUUGCAGCAGAGAUAUUUAGUCACCAACUUUCUCAACACAGCUUAUGAAUAUAAAAGAAACAAACCUUACAAUAACAAUUCAAUCACAUGCAACAGCCACGGGUCAAAUGUUGGUCAUGUAACUAUACUUGUGAGUUAUUCUCUUGGCAAAAAGCUGUUUCUAUUUGACAUAAUUAAAAGGGAAAUAUUUCUAGAGCUGCAACUGACAAUAGUUGUUUUCCAUUUAUCAAUCAAUAUGUUGACUAUUUUCUCAAUUUAUUCAACCUUUUGCUAACUCAAGCGAUUAAAUACCGUCUUUGUGUAUUUGUCCCAUUUCAAAAUGCGGAAAUUUCUCUAAUUUGUUUGUUGUAUUCAUCCCUAAAGUCAGCCAACACGGUAAUUCCGUACACAGGCCCGUGGUGUCCACACACAUCUAAAGAAGCAUUUCAAAAAAAAAAAAAAAUGUUAAAGAUAAAUCGACAACAACAAAAUCAAACUGCUUUAUAUCACUUUAAUUUCAGUGCAAACAAUUCAUUAAACUGAAGUAACCCCUCAAAAAAACCACCUAAUUUACAAUCUUUUAUUUCAGCAGCUCAGGGCGUAUUUGUUAGACAGGACAGCAGACCAUUUUAACUCCUGUGAUAAAUGUGUUAAAUGUAAUUGCAUAAACAGUGAAAAGUGACCGGGGUUGAUGCAUCAGUUUGAAGAUUGUUUCACAGAUUUUAAGGACCUUCAAUAUUUUGUUGCCAGGGCAUAAUUUACUGGACUCUAGACAAAGUGUCUUUGUGGGGUAUUUUUAUUUUAUUUUUUUAUGCUAAUCCUGCUUGUAUGUUUUGUUUUGUGCACUAGGCGCAGUUGUGUAGCCGUUGAGUAUUGCUGGUUAGCUGUUAAGGUGGCGUGUUGCUCUGAAGAGUGCUCCUGUGACUACCAGUGGUGCAGUGCUACAUUCUCACCCUUUGUAAGAUGACAUGCUUUUUUUCCUUUUUUCUCUGUAUGGUCAUGGAUGAUAAAUGUGACUUUCAUUAAAGAUUUGGUGUUUUGUCUAAAA